AGCUUCUCGUUAAUGAAGGACAAGAAAAAUGUAAUAGAAAGUAAGUUCAUCACAUCGAUUCACACUCCUAAUCAUUCAACAAGAAGGGAAAAACGUCAUUUCAGACAUUAGAAUGCAAAUAACGUUCGUGAUACGAGUGAUGAGUCAUCG
Caenorhabditis elegans is the source of this 150-nucleotide non-coding RNA. The record is from Ensembl. NCBI's taxonomy places the organism in Eukaryota, Metazoa, Nematoda, Chromadorea, Rhabditida, Rhabditidae.